AGUCGGCCGGACGGCCGCGGUCCUUCGGGAUCGAGGAAAGUCCGGGCUCCACGGAGAUACGGUGCCGGAUAACGUCCGGCGGGGGCGACCCCAGGGACAGUGCCACAGAAAGCAAACCGCCGGCCCUCGUGGCCGGUCAGGGUGAAAGGGUGCGGUAAGAGCGCACCGCGCCUCCGGCAACGGAGGUGGCAGGGCAAACCCCACCGGGAGCAAGACCGAAUAGGGGCGAACGCGGCGGCUUGCCGCCGCAGGGCCGUCUCCGGCUCUCGCCCGGGUUGGUUGCUCGAGGCGGUCGGCAACGGCCGCCCCAGAGGAAUGGCCGUCACGUCGCGUGGUUCGCCGCGCGGCCCUACAGAACCCGGCUUACAGGCCGACUGG
RNAcentral lists this RNase P RNA (378 nucleotides) under uncultured Alsobacter sp. Its description in RNAcentral is "Bacterial RNase P class A". It matches the Rfam family "Bacterial RNase P class A". From Rfam's summary of the family: Ribonuclease P (RNase P) is a ubiquitous endoribonuclease, found in archaea, bacteria and eukarya as well as chloroplasts and mitochondria. Its best characterised activity is the generation of mature 5'-ends of tRNAs by cleaving the 5'-leader elements of precursor-tRNAs. Lineage: Bacteria; Pseudomonadati; Pseudomonadota; Alphaproteobacteria; Hyphomicrobiales; Alsobacteraceae. The record is from RNAcentral.